CAGUGUCGCAUAGUAAUUCAACUAUACGAAAACCGUUGAUUCGCACAAUUUCAUCGGCUUGGUUGAAUUAGUGGCGCGGCUAUGCUGGAUUAUGACUACGCCUCGUCAGAAUCCGGGUAGACCGACGUCGCUGGCCCGAGCCGACGCAGUAGCCGCUGGCCCCCUAGGGCACGUUCGUUGGCUAAGCCGUCGUGGCGGAAGCUCACGGUCGCUUGAAUUACAAUUCCGAUCGAGCGGCGAGCUCGAAUCCUUUGCAGUCGACUUAAAUACGCGACGGGUAUUUAAGGGUAGAGUGGCCUUGCUGCCACGAUCCUUGAGAUUCAGCCUUUGUCGCUCCGAUUC
This 342-nucleotide non-coding RNA is filed under the name Ipomoea nil (Japanese morning glory). The record is from Rfam by way of RNAcentral. Lineage: Eukaryota; Viridiplantae; Streptophyta; Magnoliopsida; Solanales; Convolvulaceae.